CUUCGCUCUCUCUCUCUCUUCCGCGUGGUGACCCAUGGCUCAACGACCGCCAACGCGACGACCACCACGACCACACACGCAAUACACAACGUUGCUUUCUGCAUGAAAGCUUCCCACAAGGCGAGAAGCGCGCGCACCCAAACAAUACCGCAUACCUGAAAGGCAGCAGUGACACCAACGGCCAGGAGACGAGGCGUAAGACGGAACGGAUUGUGGCAUGCCGUCGUUUUCUCUCAUCGUUUUUGUGUACACGUUGCUCUCUCUUUCUCUCUCUGCGUGUGUGCUUGCUCGCGGCCGACGCCGAAUUUCUCUUGUGCUACGUGUGUUCACGCGAGCGCACCCGCUGCGUUGCGCAUCUGAUCUCUCUACUUCUCUUGCGCCGUUCACACUUGACCACCGACUGAUACUUGUGUGCACCAGCACGUGCUUGCUCGCUGCACUCGUGCCUUCGCAGCCGCAGCGAAGAGAACCUCGAAAAACAGCUCGCGCAAGUCUUUUAUCUCCGCUUGCCGAUCGACACGCACCGUCUCGUCUGCCAAGGUGGCCGUAGUGUGUAAGCGGGGUACAGCCAUCAGAUCGGCUGCCACUUGAAUUCCGCCCCCGCUUCCCCCCCCUCCCCAACACACACACAUACAUACGCACCAACCGACGCAUGACUGACGUCGUCUUCGUGCAUGUGUGUGCGUGGUGAUUGAGUGUAUUGUUCGUGUUGAUGCACAGCACACAACUCCACGGAGACAACGACGACAGCAAGCAUCGACAAGAGCGAAAAGGGCGCAAGCCGCUGUGAGGACGGCGUGAUUGAACGGGCAGAGAGAGCGAGAGGGAAGGAGAGGAGGAGGGGGCACACGAAUCUGUCAGUGCUCACGAGAAUCAACUCCAAUAAACCAUCUCCCUCCGCGCACACGUAUACCCACUGACCCGCCCCACACGCACACAGAGCGAGUCUUUCCUUCUCACACGCGGCCCCUUCCGCACCCACUCUUUCCCCGCGCCACACUCCUCAUUCCCCUGUCCGUGCUGGUGGUGCGUGAGCACUUCUGUUUUGUGGGUUCGCCUUUUUCGCGUCUUACCCUCCAAUACGGACAGUGCACCUUCUCUUCCCCUCCGCUUGCCUCCUCCUUUUGUCCCUCCCCACAUCACCGCUGUCGUACUGGCGCGACGACACAUCGCGACGCACACGCACAAG
Molecule: unclassified non-coding RNA, 1189 nt
Filed under: Leishmania donovani
Lineage: Eukaryota; Euglenozoa; Kinetoplastea; Trypanosomatida; Trypanosomatidae
Description: gene:unknown
Source: RNAcentral